CCCUUAGACGUUCUGGGCCGCACGCGCGCUACACUGACGGAGCCAGCGAGUAUAAACCUUGGCCGAGAGGUCUGGGAAAUCUUGUGAAACUCCGUCGUGCUGGGGAUAGAGCAUUGUAAUUAUUGCUCUUCAACGAGGAAUUCCUAGUAAGCGCAAGUCAUCAGCUUGCGUUGAUUACGUCCCUGUCCUUUGUACACACCGCCCGUCGCUACUACCGAUUGAAUGGCUUAGUGAGGCUUCCGGAUUGGUUUAGAGAAGGGGGCAACUCCAUCUUGGAACCGAGAAGCUAGUCAAACUUGGUCAUUUAGAGGAAGUAAAAGUCGUAACA
Molecule: ribosomal RNA, 328 nt
Filed under: uncultured eukaryote
Lineage: Eukaryota
Description: partial 18S ribosomal RNA
Rfam family: Eukaryotic small subunit ribosomal RNA
Source: RNAcentral